UCGGGAAUAUUGCGCAAUGGAGGAAACUCUGACGCAGUGACGCCGCGUAUAGGAAGAAGGUUUUAGGAUUGUAAACUAUUUUAGACAGGGAAGAAAAAUGACAGUACCUGUAGAAUAAGCUCCGGCUAACUACGUGCCAGCAGCCGCGGUAAUACGUAGGGAGCAAGCGUUAUCCGGAAUUAUUGGGUGUAAAGGGUGCGUAGACGGGAAUACAAGUUGGUUGUGAAAGCCCUCGGCUCAACUGAGGAACUGCAACCAAAACUAUAUUUCUUGAGUGCAGGAGAGGAAAGCGGAAUUCCUAGUGUAGCGGUGAAAUGCGUAGAUAUUAGGAGGAACACCAGUGGCGAAGGCGGCUUUCUGGACUGUAACUGACGUUGAGGCACGAAAGUGUGGGGAGCAAACAGG
This 405-nucleotide ribosomal RNA is filed under the name uncultured bacterium. RNAcentral's name for it is "bacterial SSU rRNA". It matches the Rfam family "Bacterial small subunit ribosomal RNA", at positions 355 to 776 of the family's 1533-position model. The record is from RNAcentral.